This is a long non-coding RNA of Sinocyclocheilus anshuiensis, 695 nucleotides long. Lineage: Eukaryota; Metazoa; Chordata; Actinopteri; Cypriniformes; Cyprinidae. The record is from Ensembl.
UAUAGAAUAACAACUGGGGUAUUUCUUCUUUUUUACUUUAAAAAUGUCAGAGAGGUCUGGUUCCCAGUUUCCUGCUUGAACCGAUGGGCAAGAAAAACAAGGGUAAAAACAAGCGAAUUGAACUCGCCAAUGGCAUCCCAUAUCCACCAGCUCUACAACCCCCAAAUCGACCCCAAGGUCCAUCUCAACGGUCAUUAGAGUUGCACCCCUCCUAUGCCGGCACUGCCCACACAACUCCUCCUACAACCGGCAACUCCACCCACAUCCCUACGCAGCAGGCCCAAACUUCACCUCAGGAGCCUGGAUCAGCCAUAGUCAAGGUGCACUAUACAUACACCAUGGCUCUGAGAGUCCCUUUAGAAACUUCUUUCUGGGAUCUGCAAGACAAAAUCGCUCAGAAAUUAGGACAGCCCGCAACAACCGUUCGCCUCAGACACAGAAGGAACGGCACCAGAGCACUAACUCCAUUAAAUGGUGAUGAUAGACUGGAUAGCCUGGAGGGUGCGGCUGAAUCAGGACGUGCCCAAAUUUGGUGUCAGAAUGAGGACCCUCUGGUAAACAGGACUAUUCUCUAUCAGAUGGUGGCACUGUAUGACUACAAUGCACAAGGCCCAGAGGAUUUGGAAUUCAGUGAAGGUGACACAAUUGACAUUCUCAGUGAAGGUACAUAAACACAGGGGUAUCUUUUUGUUAUU